This 33-nucleotide non-coding RNA is filed under the name unclassified sequences. RNAcentral's name for it is "DUF805b RNA". It matches the Rfam family "DUF805b RNA". Rfam says of the family: Bacteroidetes, Chlorobi (1 example), Proteobacteria. Lineage (Flavobacteria) The record is from RNAcentral.
AACGGGAAAGCUGAAAACCGAACAGAGUAAGCA